GAUGAACGCUAGCUACAGGCUUAACACAUGCAAGUCGAGGGGUAGCAGGGUAGCAAUACCGCUGACGACCGGCGCACGGGUGAGUAACACGUAUCCAACCUACCGUUUACUCGGGGAUAGCCUUUCGAAAGAAAGAUUAAUACCCGAUAGUAUAAAGAGUUCGCAUGUUCUCUUUAUUAAAGGAUUCCGGUAAAUGAUGGGGAUGCGUUCCAUUAGAUUGUUGGCGGGGUAACGGCCCACCAAGUCUUCGAUGGAUAGGGGUUCUGAGAGGAAGGUCCCCCACAUUGGAACGGAGACACGGGCCAAACUCCUACGGGAGGCAGCAGUGAGGAAUAUUGGUCAAUGGGCGUUAGCCUGAACCAGCCAAGUAGCGUGAAGGAUGACUGCCCUAUGGGUUGUAAACUUCUUUUAUAAGGGAAUAAAACGGGGAACGUGUUCCCCUUUGCAUGUACCUUACGAAUAAGGAUCGGCUAACUCCGUGCCAGCCGCCGCAGUAA
This 497-nucleotide ribosomal RNA is filed under the name uncultured bacterium. RNAcentral describes it as "partial 16S ribosomal RNA". It matches the Rfam family "Bacterial small subunit ribosomal RNA", at positions 28 to 523 of the family's 1533-position model. The record is from RNAcentral.